GAUGAACGCUGGCGGCGUGCCUAAUACAUGCAAGUCGAGCGAACGGACGAGAAGCUUGCUUCUCUGAUGUUAGCGGCGGACGGGUGAGUAACACGUGGAUAACCUACCUAUAAGACUGGGAUAACUUCGGGAAACCGGAGCUACUACCGGAUCAUAUUUUGAACCGCAUGGUUCAAAAGUGAUACACGGUCUUGCUGUCACUUAUAGCUGGAUCCGCGCUGCAUUAGCUAGUUGGUAAGGUAACGGCUUACCAAGGCAACGAUGCGUAGCCGAUCUGAGAGGGUGAUCGGCCACACUGGAACUGAGACACGGUCCAGACUCCUACGGGAGGCAGCAGUAGGGAAUCUUCCGCAAUGGGCGAAAGCCUGACGGAGCAACGCCGCGUGAGUGAUGAAGGUCUUCGGAUCGUAAAACUCUGUUAUUAGGGAAGAACAUAUGUGUAAGUAACUGUGCACAUCUUGACGGUACCUAAUCAGAAAGCCACGGCUAACUACGUG
This 497-nucleotide ribosomal RNA is filed under the name uncultured bacterium. RNAcentral describes it as "partial 16S ribosomal RNA". It matches the Rfam family "Bacterial small subunit ribosomal RNA", at positions 28 to 507 of the family's 1533-position model. The record is from RNAcentral.